This is a ribosomal RNA of 402 nucleotides. It matches the Rfam family "Bacterial small subunit ribosomal RNA", at positions 355 to 774 of the family's 1533-position model.
UGGGGAAUAUUGCACAAUGGACGAAAGUCUGAUGCAGCGACGCCGCGUGAGGGAAGAAGGUAUUCGUAUUGUAAACCUCUGUCUUCGGGGACGAUAAUGACGGUACCCGAGGAGGAAGCACCGGCUAACUACGUGCCAGCAGCCGCGGUAAAACGUAGGGUGCGAGCGUUGUCCGGAAUUACUGGGUGUAAAGGGAGCGCAGGCGGAAAGGUAAGUUGAAUGUGAAAUCUAUGGGCUCAACCCAUAAAUUGCGUUCAAAACUAUUUUUCUUGAGUGGAGUAGAGGUAAGUGGAAUUCCAGGUGUAGCGGUGGAAUGCGUAGAUAUCUGGAGGAACACCAGUGGCGAAGGCGGCUUACUGGGCUCUAACUGACGCUGAGGCUCGAAAGCAUGGGUAGCAAACA